UGUUCUUUGGUAUAACAUAAAGAAUAGGACCUGCCCAGUGGGGAUAUUUUAAACGGCCGCGAUAUUUUAAUCGUGCUAAGGUAGCAUAAUCAAUUGUCUAUUAAUUGUAGACUGGAAUGAAUGGUUGGACUAGAAAUUGCUUGUUUUUAUAUUAAGAUGAAAUUUUUAUUUUUAUGAAGAGAUGAAGGUGAGGUAGUAAGACGAGAAGACCCUAUUGAGCUUAAUAUUAUAGCUAAUUAGAAUAAGUGGUGGGUAUAAUUAGUGAGGAUAUUUGACUGGGGUGGUAAAACUUAAUAUAAACAAGUUAUGAAAAAUUUACUAAUUAAGUAAAGGAGGAUCCAUAAUAAAGUGAUUAAAAGAACAAGUUACCGUAGGGAUAACAGCGUUAUUUCAUCUAGAAGUUCAGAUUUGUGAUGAAGUUUGCGACCUCGAUGUUGGUUUAGGGUUCCUUAUUAGUGCAUCAAUUAAUGAAGGUAGUCUGUUCGACUAUUAAAUUCCUAUA
RNAcentral lists this ribosomal RNA (502 nucleotides) under Newportia longitarsis stechowi. RNAcentral's name for it is "partial 16S ribosomal RNA". It matches the Rfam family "Bacterial large subunit ribosomal RNA", at positions 1817 to 2600 of the family's 2925-position model. Lineage: Eukaryota; Metazoa; Arthropoda; Chilopoda; Scolopendromorpha; Scolopocryptopidae. The record is from RNAcentral.